UACGUAGGUGGCAAGCGUUGUCCGGAUUUAUUGGGUUUAAAGGGUGCGUAGGCGGUUUCCUAAGUCAGUUGUGAAAUACAGCAGCUUAACUGUCGAGGUGCAAUUGAUACUGGGAAACUUGAGUACUGAUGAGGUAUGCGGAAUGGACGGUGUAGCGGUGAAAUGCUUAGAUAUCGUCCAGAACACCGAUAGCGAAGGCAGCAUACUAAGGAGUAACUGACGCUGAGGCACGAAAGUGUGGGGACCAAACAGG
This 253-nucleotide ribosomal RNA is filed under the name uncultured bacterium. RNAcentral's name for it is "partial 16S ribosomal RNA". It matches the Rfam family "Bacterial small subunit ribosomal RNA", at positions 524 to 776 of the family's 1533-position model. The record is from RNAcentral.